This 468-nucleotide ribosomal RNA is filed under the name uncultured bacterium. Its description in RNAcentral is "partial 16S ribosomal RNA". It matches the Rfam family "Bacterial small subunit ribosomal RNA", at positions 28 to 507 of the family's 1533-position model. The record is from RNAcentral.
GACGAACGCUGGCGGCGUGCUUAACACAUGCAAGUCGAACGGAAAGGCCCUGCUUUUGGGGGGUGCUCGAGUGGCGAACGGGUGAGUAACACGUGAGUAACCUGCCCUUGACUUUGGGAUAACUUCAGGAAACUGGGGGUAAUACCGGAUAGGAGCUCCUGCUGCAUGGUGGGGGUUGGAAAGUUUCGGCGGUUGGGGAUGGACUCGCGGCUUAUCAGAUUGUUGGUGGGGUAGUGGCUUACCAAGGCUUUGACGGGUAGCCGGCCUGAGAGGGUGACCGGCCACAUUGGGACUGAGAUACGGCCCAGACUCCUACGGGAGGCAGCAGUGGGGAAUAUUGCACAAUGGGAGGAAGCCUGAUGCAGCACAGCCGCGUGCGGGAUGACGGCAUUCGGGUUGUAAACCGCUUUCGCCUGUGACGAAGCGUGAGUGACGGUAAUGGGUAAAGAAGCACCGGCUAACUACGUG